UGGUGAGAGUGUAGGGGUGAUAGGGUAGCCUAGUGGUUAGAGUGUAGGGGCGGUAGGUAGCCUAGUGGUUAGAGUGUAGGGGCGGUAGGUAGCCUAGUGGUUAGAGUGUAGGGGCGGUAGGUAGCCUAGUGGUUAGAGUGUAGGGGCGGUAGGUAGCCUAGUGGUUAGAGUGUAGGGGCGGUAGGUAGCCUAGUGGUUAGAGUGUAGGGGCGGUAGGUAGCCUAGUGGUUAGAGUGUAGGGGCGGUAGGUAGCCUAGUGGUUAGAGUGUAGGGGCGUUAGGUAGCCUAGUGGUUAGAGUGUAGGGGCGGUAGGUAGCCUAGUGGUUAGAGUGUAGGGGCGGUAGGUAGCCUAGUGGUUAGAGUGUAGGGGCGGUAGGUAGCCUAGUGGUUAGAGUGUAGGGGCGGUAGGUAGCCUAGUGGUUAGAGUGUAGGGGCGGUAGGUAGCCUAGUGGUUAGAGUGUAGGGGCGGUAGGUAGCCUAGUGGUUAGAGUGUAGGGGCGGUAGGUAGCCUAGUGGUUAGAGUGUAGGGGCGGUAGGUAGCCUAGUGGUUAGAGUGUAGGGGCGGUAGGUAGCCUAGUGGUUAGAGUGUAGGGGCGGUAGGUAGCCUAGUGGUUAGAGUGUAGGGGCGGUAGGUAGCCUAGUGGUUAGAGUGUAGGGGCGGUAGGUAGCCUAGUGGUUAGAGUGUAGUGGCGGUAGGUAGCCUAGUGGUUAGAGUGUAGGGGUGGUAGGUAGCCUAGUGGUUAGAGUGUAGGGGUGGUAGGUAGCCUAGUGGUUAGACUGUAGGGGGCGGUAGGUAGUCUAGUGGUUAGAGUGUAGGGGCGGUAGGUAGCCUAGUGGUUAGAGCUUUGGGCCGGUAACCGGGAAGGUUGCUAGAUCGAAUCCCCGAGCUGGUUGUUGAAAUCUGUCGUUCUGCCACUGAACAAGGCAGUUAAUCCAAUGUUCGUAGGUUGUCAUUGUAAAUAAGAGUUGGUUCUUAACUGACUUGCCAAGUUGAAUAAAAGUUUUUGAAAAAAACACUGCAAAGGUUUUGAAUUGUACCAUUCUGGCAGGUCAACCUCGUGAUUUGUUG
Oncorhynchus keta (chum salmon) is the source of this 1069-nucleotide long non-coding RNA. RefSeq lists it as uncharacterized. The record is from RefSeq and is a predicted model, not a curated record. The transcript has 6 exons. Lineage: Eukaryota; Metazoa; Chordata; Actinopteri; Salmoniformes; Salmonidae.